ACAUGAAGCUGGAAUCGCUAGUAAUCGCGAAUCAGAAUGUCGCGGUGAAUACGUUCCCGGGUCUUGUACACACCGCCCGUCACACCAUGGGAGUCGGAAAUGCCCGGAGUCAGUGACCCAACCGUAAGGAGGGAGCUGCCGAAGGUGGAGCCGGUAACUGGGGUGAAGUCGUAACAAGGUAGC
Molecule: ribosomal RNA, 183 nt
Filed under: uncultured bacterium
Lineage: Bacteria
Description: partial 16S ribosomal RNA
Rfam family: Bacterial small subunit ribosomal RNA
Source: RNAcentral